Molecule: ribosomal RNA, 522 nt
Filed under: uncultured bacterium
Lineage: Bacteria
Description: bacterial SSU rRNA
Rfam family: Bacterial small subunit ribosomal RNA
Source: RNAcentral
CCUGGCUUAGAACGAACGCUGGCGGCGUGCUUAACACAUGCAAGUCGAACGCGAAAGGGACUUCGGUCCUGAGUAAAGUGGCGCACGGGUGAGUAACGCGUAGAUAACCUGUCUUCAUGUCUGGAAUAAUACGCCGAAAGGGGUACUAAUACCGGAUAUUCUUGCUUUUCAUAAGUUAUGCAAGCAAAGGUGGCCUCUGCAUAUGCUACUGCAUGAAGAGGGGUCUGCGUACCAUUAGGCUAGUAGGUGGGGUAAUGGCCUACCUAGGCGACGAUGGUUAGCGGGUCUGAGAAGAUGAUCCGCCACACUGGCACUGGAACACGGGCCAGACUCCUACGGGAGGCAGCAGUGAGGAAUAUUGCGCAAUGGGGGAAGCCCUGACGCAGCGACGCCGCGUGAAGUGAGGAAGGCCUUCGGGUCGUAAAGCUCUGUCAAGAGGAAAGAAGUGUACAAUGGCUAAUACCUGUUGUAUUUGACGGUACCUCUAAAGGAAGCACCGGCUAACUCCGUGCCAGCCGCUGC